This 407-nucleotide ribosomal RNA is filed under the name uncultured bacterium. Its description in RNAcentral is "bacterial SSU rRNA". It matches the Rfam family "Bacterial small subunit ribosomal RNA", at positions 337 to 733 of the family's 1533-position model. The record is from RNAcentral.
ACCUACGGGUGGCAGCAGUUUCGAAUCAUUCACAAUGGGCGAAAGCCUGAUGGUGCGACGCCGCGUGAGGGAUGAAGGUCUUCGGAUUGUAAACCUCUGUCACUGGGGGAGAAAACGCUUUUGAGUUAAUAGUUCAAAGCCUGAUUUUAACCCGGAGAGGAAGCAGUGGCUAACUCUGUGCCAGCAGCCGCGGUAAUACAGAGACUGCAAGCGUUAUUCGGAUUCACUGGGCGUAAAAGGGUGCGCAGGCGGUUGGGUGUGUCAGAUGUGAAAUCCCGAGGCUUAACCUCGGAACUGCGUCUGAAACUACUCGACUAGAGUACUGGAGAGGGAAACGGAAUUCACGGUGUAGCAGUGAAAUGCGUAGAUAUCGUGAGGAACACCAGAGGCGAAGGCGGUUUCCUGGA